UACGAAGGGGGCUAGCGUUGUUCGGAAUUACUGGGCGUAAAGCGCGCGUAGGCGGACUAUUAAGUCAGGGGUGAAAUCCCGGGGCUCAACCCCGGAACUGCCUUUGAUACUGGUAGUCUCGAGUCCGGAAGAGGUGAGUGGAAUUCCGAGUGUAGAGGUGAAAUUCGUAGAUAUUCGGAGGAACACCAGUGGCGAAGGCGGCUCACUGGUCCGGUACUGACGCUGAGGUGCGAAAGCGUGGGGAGCAAACAGG
RNAcentral lists this ribosomal RNA (253 nucleotides) under uncultured bacterium. Its description in RNAcentral is "partial 16S ribosomal RNA". It matches the Rfam family "Bacterial small subunit ribosomal RNA", at positions 524 to 776 of the family's 1533-position model. The record is from RNAcentral.